GCUCUUGUUCAUAGAGCACAACUAAAGCCUGGUCAAGUAUUGCUUGUUCUUGGCGCAGCUGGUGGUGUUGGUCUGUCAGCUGUACAGAUUGGUAAAGUUUGUGGUGCAGUGGUCAUUGCUGUUGCUAGAGGAGAUGAAAAGGUCAGUUUUCUCCGAUCAUUGGGGGUUGAUCAUGUAGUUGACUUGAGCAAGGAGAAUGUUCUAGAAAACGUGAAGCAUUUCCUGAAGUUGAGAAAUUUGAAA
This 243-nucleotide unclassified non-coding RNA is filed under the name Hevea brasiliensis (rubber tree). The record is from RNAcentral. Lineage: Eukaryota; Viridiplantae; Streptophyta; Magnoliopsida; Malpighiales; Euphorbiaceae.